AGAGUGAACGCUGGCGGUAGGCCUAACACAUGCAAGUCGAACGGCAGCACGGUAAGAGCUUGCUCUUAUGGGUGGCGAGUGGCGGACGGGUGAGGAAUACAUCGGAAUCUACCUUUUGGUGGGGGAUAACGUAGGGAAACUUACGCUAAUACCGCAUACGCCCUUCGGGGGAAAGCCGGGGACCAGCAAUGGCCUGGCGCUGAUAGAUGAGCCGAUGUCGGAUUAGCUAGUUGGUGAGGUAAUGGCUCACCAAGGCGACGAUCCGUAGCUGGUCUGAGAGGAUGAUCAGCCACACUGGAACUGAGACACGGUCCAGACUCCU
RNAcentral lists this ribosomal RNA (322 nucleotides) under uncultured soil bacterium. RNAcentral's name for it is "bacterial SSU rRNA". It matches the Rfam family "Bacterial small subunit ribosomal RNA", at positions 26 to 340 of the family's 1533-position model. The record is from RNAcentral.